RNAcentral lists this ribosomal RNA (436 nucleotides) under uncultured bacterium. Its description in RNAcentral is "bacterial SSU rRNA". It matches the Rfam family "Bacterial small subunit ribosomal RNA", at positions 355 to 796 of the family's 1533-position model. The record is from RNAcentral.
UCGAGAAUCUUCGGCAAUGGGCGCAAGCCUGACCGAGCGACGCCGCGUGGAGGACGAAGGCCUUCGGGUUGUAAACUCCUGUCGAGGGGGAAGAAGGGCCUUAAAACCUUGACUGAUCCCUGGAGGAAGCACGGGCUAAGUUCGUGCCAGCAGCCGCGGUAAGACGAACCGUGCGAACGUUAUUCGGAAUCACUGGGCUUAAAGCGCGUGUAGGCGGCCCGGAACGUCCGUCGCUGAAAUCCCCCGGCUCAACCGGGGAAGUGGCGUGGAUACGACCGGGCUGGAGGGGGGUAGGGGGGACGGGAACUCACGGUGGAGCGGUGAAAUGCGUUGAGAUCGUGAGGAACGCCCGCGGCGAAAGCGCGUCCCUGGACCCCACCUGACGCUGAGACGCGAAAGCCAGGGGAGCGAACGGGAUUAGAUACCCCCGUAGUCC